This 500-nucleotide ribosomal RNA is filed under the name uncultured bacterium. RNAcentral describes it as "partial 16S ribosomal RNA". It matches the Rfam family "Bacterial small subunit ribosomal RNA", at positions 30 to 523 of the family's 1533-position model. The record is from RNAcentral.
AUUGAACGCUGGCGGCAUGCCUUACACAUGCAAGUCGAACGGCAGCACGGGAGCAAUCCUGGUGGCGAGUGGCGAACGGGUGAGUAAAGUAUCGGAACGUGCCCAGUCGUGGGGGAUAACGUAGCGAAAGUUACGCUAAUACCGCAUACGAUCUAUGGAUGAAAGCGGGGGAUCGCAAGACCUCGCGCGAUUGGAGCGGCCGAUAUCAGAUUAGGUAGUUGGUGGGGUAAAGGCUCACCAAGCCGACGAGCUGUAGCUGGUCUGAGAGGACGACCAGCCACACUGGGACUGAGACACGGCCCAGACUCCUACGGGAGGCAGCAGUGGGGAAUUUUGGACAAUGGGCGUAAGCCUGAUCCAGCCAUGCCGCGUGCAGGAUGAAGGCCUUCGGGUUGUAAACUGCUUUUGUACGGAACGAAAAGGUUUGGCCUAAUAAGCUGAGCUCAUGACGGUACCGUAAGAAUAAGCACCGGCUAACUACGUGCCAGCAGCCGCGGUAA